RNAcentral lists this ribosomal RNA (497 nucleotides) under uncultured bacterium. RNAcentral's name for it is "partial 16S ribosomal RNA". It matches the Rfam family "Bacterial small subunit ribosomal RNA", at positions 28 to 507 of the family's 1533-position model. The record is from RNAcentral.
GAUGAACGCUGGCGGCGUGCCUAAUACAUGCAAGUCGAGCGAACGGACGAGAAGCUUGCUUCUCUGAUGUUAGCGGCGGACGGGUGAGUAACACGUGGAUAACCUACCUAUAAGACUGGGAUAACUUCGGGAAACCGGAGCUAAUACCGGAUAAUAUUUUGAACCGCAUGGUUCAAAAGUGAAAGACGGUCUUGCUGUCACUUAUAGAUGGAUCCGCGCUGCAUUAGCUAGUUGGUAAGGUAACGGCUUACCAAGGCAACGAUGCAUAGCCGACCUGAGAGGGGGAUAGGCCACACUGGAACUGAGACACGGUCAAGACUCCUACGGGAGGCAGAAGUAGGGAAUCUUCCGCAGUGGGCGAAAGCAUGACGGAGCAACGCCGCGUGAGUGAUGAAGGUCUUCGGAUCGUAAAACUCUGUUAUUAGGGAAGAACAUAUGUGUAAGUAACUGUGCACAUCUUGACGGUACCUAAUAAGAAAGCCACGGCUAACUACGUG